RNAcentral lists this long non-coding RNA (286 nucleotides) under Sinocyclocheilus grahami. RNAcentral describes it as "lncRNA (ENSSGRG00000033247.1)". The record is from RNAcentral. Lineage: Eukaryota; Metazoa; Chordata; Actinopteri; Cypriniformes; Cyprinidae.
UAGGUUUGAUUGUGUGGUGUUUGUGAGAGUGAUACCUGGAGCUGAUGUGAGUAAAACAGUGUCUAUGAUACAGGGGAUGCUAAUACCCAGCUAUAUCUACAAAAACAUCAUCCUAAAAACAAACCCAGCAUCUAUAAACAUCCUCUCAGUAGCCGUCUAUCCCAAUGUGACUUCAAAUCCUGCUUUGACCACUGUUGCACCAGACUUGUCUCAAACCACAAAGAGUCCCGACACUGGAAGUACAAAUGUUACAACAUCAGGAACUCGCACAUCAUUACAAACACUG